AUUGAACGCUGGCGGCAAGCCUAACACAUGCAAGUCGAACGGUAACAGGAAGAAGCUUGCUUCUUUGCUGACGAGUGGCGGACGGGUGAGUAAUGUCUGGGAAACUGCCUGAUGGAGGGGGAUAACUACUGGAAACGGUAGCUAAUACCGCAUAACGUCGCAAGACCAAAGAGGGGGACCUUCGGGCCUCUUGCCAUCGGAUGUGCCCAGAUGGGAUUAGCUAGUAGGUGGGGUAACGGCUCACCUAGGCGACGAUCCCUAGCUGGUCUGAGAGGAUGACCAGCCACACUGGAACUGAGACACGGUCCAGACUCCUACGGGAGGCAGCAGUGGGGAAUAUUGCACAAAGGGCGCAAGCCUGAUGCAGCCAUGCCGCGUGUAUGAAGAAGGCCUUCGGGUUGUAAAGUACUUUCAGCGGGGAGGAAGGGAGUAAAGUUAAUACCUUUGCUCAUUGACGUUACCCGCAGAAGAAGCACCGGCUAACUCCGUG
This 490-nucleotide ribosomal RNA is filed under the name uncultured bacterium. RNAcentral describes it as "partial 16S ribosomal RNA". It matches the Rfam family "Bacterial small subunit ribosomal RNA", at positions 30 to 507 of the family's 1533-position model. The record is from RNAcentral.